GAGAUGAGAUGAACCUAAUAUAUAUAUGAUACCUCAGGCUUGAUCAUAUUGAAGAGGAUCUAAGAGGUCUAGAGAUGAGAUGAACCUAAAAUAUAUAUGGCACCUCAGGCUCGGUCAUAUUGAAGAGGAUAAGAUAAAUAGAGUGGAGAAAGAUGGACUUCUUGGCUCAUUAAAUAAUGUGUCAUAUUCAGCUUGUGAAUCCUAUUUUUUUAAAAAAAUGAUGAAACAAUCUUUUGUAGGAUA
RNAcentral lists this long non-coding RNA (243 nucleotides) under Elaeis guineensis (African oil palm). Its description in RNAcentral is "long non-coding RNA (EGUI_LNC049080)". Lineage: Eukaryota; Viridiplantae; Streptophyta; Magnoliopsida; Arecales; Arecaceae. The record is from RNAcentral.